Molecule: transfer RNA, 98 nt
Filed under: Pneumocystis carinii
Lineage: Eukaryota; Fungi; Ascomycota; Pneumocystomycetes; Pneumocystales; Pneumocystaceae
Description: tRNA-Ser
Rfam family: tRNA
About the family: Transfer RNA (tRNA) molecules are approximately 80 nucleotides in length. Their secondary structure includes four short double-helical elements and three loops (D, anti-codon, and T loops).
Source: RNAcentral
GGAUAAGUGGCCGAGUGGUUUAAGGCAUGAUACUUGAGAUAUCAAACACUUCUCUCCCCCCUCUCCGAGUGUCGCGAGUUCGAAUCUCGCCUUAUCCG